UAUAUAUCUAGGAUAAGUCCCCUAGUGGAUGAUCUAUCUCUAACAAUAUAUCCUCCCUUGGUUUAUAUAUGUAUAUAUAUAUCUAGGAUAAGUCCCCUAGUGGAUGAUCUAUCUCUAACAAUAUAUCCUCCCUUGGUUUAUAUAUUCAUAUAUAUAUCUAGGAUAAGUCCCCUAGUGGAUGAUCUAUCUCGAACAAUAUAUCCUCCCUUGGUUUAUAUAUAUACAUAUACAUAUCUAGGAUAAGUCCCCUAGUGGAUUAUCUAUCUCUAACAAUAUAUCCUCCCUUGGUUUAUAUAAAUAUAUAUCUAUAUCUAGAAUAAGUCCCCUAGUGGAUGAUCUAUCUCUAACAAUAUAUCCUCCCUUGGUUUGGGAAGAAGCUAAGGAAGCAGCUUGGAAGCUUAAACAAACUCUUGAGGAAAUAUUGGUUCAUCUGACGAGAUUAAUACAAGGAGAAGGGAUAGAUAUCUCUUGGCUGGAAUUUAUUAACAAAGCAGUAGCUCAUAAUGCAGCAGAGAUUCAGAGAGUUUUUAUACAACAUGGUUUAGCAGAGUUAUCAUUGUCCUAGUCUCAUUCAGAGAGUUUUUAUACAACAUGGUUUAGCAGAGUUAUCAUUGUCCUAGUCUCAUUCA
Eurytemora carolleeae is the source of this 629-nucleotide long non-coding RNA. RefSeq lists it as uncharacterized. The transcript is spliced from 2 exons. NCBI's taxonomy places the organism in Eukaryota, Metazoa, Arthropoda, Copepoda, Calanoida, Temoridae. The record is from RefSeq and is a predicted model, not a curated record.